ACCAGUAAGACUCACUUUUAAAUGGUGGCCCGUGAUUGGCCAAAAGGACCGUUUCAGUCACCUAAUUUCUUACCGAAAACGUAAACUCCGAACGCAACAAUUGCGCGGAUAACAAAAUUUCACUUAAAAUUCAAAUACAUAAAUAUUAAAAUUAAUAAUUUACAUAAUAAAAUUACGGCGUUAAUUUUACCGUUUACAGUUUUCAAGUCCAUUAGUCCUUAGAGGGGUAUCAACAAUACCUCGUUCAAAUAGUCCGGUAAAAAUCCAAAGAAUCACUUUUCCAUAGACAUACAUAACCAAAUAUUGCCGUUUCUGAAAAUAAAUGAUAUUAUACAUAGAGCAAACAAAAAUAAAAUAAAUCGUAAAUAAUAAUAAAUAAUUAAACUGUCAAAACAAACAUGUUGCAGUACAGAUUUUGCCGCCCUUGUCAAUUACAUUGAACAGUGCUCUUUGACCUGUUCAAAACGGUGCAAUGUGAUUGGCACUUCCCUUUCUCCGUCGCACAAUACACAACACUCUUCGUUGCCUAGCAACGCGCGCACCAAACGACAAACAAAAAAAAACAACUUGAGAGAGACUACCUCUCCUCCUCGAUUCGUUUUUUUACCGUUGCGCGCCUGAAAAUCGCGCCUUUUUAAACACUUUUUAUCGGGUCGUCGCUGCUAACAGACCUGCGCGAAGAAGUUCACGGAUUUUGCAGUGCAAAAUCUUCGAAGGCUGGAACUGCUGCUGCUCUCCGACAGCUUCUGCCUUGAGCCGCUCCUGUUGAGAAGGACUCGGGAGGACUUACUUACUGUCACGUCACGGCAAUGGGUCAACGUCCAUCUGCGGUGAUGACUGCAUCCUUGCUGCGACUCCUCCUUCCUGCAGCGGACAGCGGCGUCGAGACGGCGCCUGUCCUCAAAACGACCAACAAACCUGGCCUGGUUCACCACGCGUCGACGGGGUCUGGCGUGGGGCGAUGAUGCUGUACCAGACAGCACGGCAUCUGGCACUGCAGCUGACGUCAUCAACUGCUGAUGUGGCGGCGUCCAGCCGCCCUGCCUCACGACUACGCGCGAGACGGCGUCGUGGCGUCUGCGGUGCUGAUUGCGUGGGGCGAGGUCACCACUUCCCACAAGGAAGCACUCGUCUAUUCCCAUCACUGUUAGGUACACAAUCGUUGCGAACCGCACUACGUCUAGCUCACUCUGGUGUAACCUUCGCACCUGACUUAAGUAUAGGUGUCCGGGUCUUAAUCGAUACCUUAAUCACUAUGUGCGUACUUGUACUCUUGCAAAUACAAGUGUCUGCAGGCAAUACAACUUGUGUACUUGCCGCGGAACACUAUGACGUCACCGUUAAAACAAAAAUAUCUUAAAUUAACCUUAAAAUUCCUAGCUUAACAUAUAACAUUCUCAUUAUUAACAUCAUUGUUAGAAAAAAAAAUAAAUAAA
Bacillus rossius redtenbacheri is the source of this 1436-nucleotide long non-coding RNA. RefSeq lists it as uncharacterized. NCBI's taxonomy places the organism in Eukaryota, Metazoa, Arthropoda, Insecta, Phasmatodea, Bacillidae. The record is from RefSeq and is a predicted model, not a curated record. The transcript has 2 exons.